This 858-nucleotide long non-coding RNA is filed under the name Homo sapiens (human). RNAcentral describes it as "HSALNT0299370". Lineage: Eukaryota; Metazoa; Chordata; Mammalia; Primates; Hominidae. The record is from RNAcentral.
AGGAACAUGCUGCUUGCCCAAAAUUCUCCACAAUCCUCCACCUCCGCUCUUCCAUUUAGGAUAUAAAAGAGGGUUUUCUCAGACCUUCUGCCAAUGCGCAGACAGAUGAAAGACGACACAGAGGUUCUCAUCAUUCUGCUGAGGAACUGAAAGCGGGUUUCCCACUCCAAUGUCUUAGUUUGGAAUCACGGCUUUUGUCCCCUCUCCGAGAAUGAAUAAUCACCAAGAAAAGAGAGGCCGUGGUAGGUGAAGGAAUGCCCAAUUCAGCCGAAAAGAAGUCAAUCCCUCCUGCCUCCUUCAGCUUGGAGUUUAGGGUAGGGAGAGAGCUUUGUUCGUGUACACGCGGUUUUCAUUCUUGUCUCUUUCUUCGAAACAGAGACUCAGUUUUAUUAGGAAAACAAUUUGCCAAACAAACUAAAAGGCUAUUAUUCCUAACUUCUCCUGCAGCUAAGAGGGACCAGACAAAGUUCAAGCUGAUGAGCUGUGAGCAGAAGGACUGAGAGGGUCUUUGGGGAGGGUGCUUAGGUGGAACUGACACAGCUGUGCGGCCCCUUUGUCCUUCUUUCCUCCUCCUUUCCCUCUGAAAAGCAGUCACCGUGGGCCCUGAGACAGCCUUCAGGAUGGAAACCAGCUAUGAAGAUGCUGGGGCAGAAAGAUUCAUGCUGGCUGACUGCCUUGGGGGGCCAUCCAGGAGCAGCAGGGAGCCCACCUCCAGAGCUCCUUUAUUGGAGAAAGAAAUAACUCUUUCUCUCUCUUCUCUGUGGUGCUGUUAUUCUGGGUUUUCUGCUAUGUGUAGGCAAAACUAAUCCUAACCAAGAUACCAGCUUUUCAUUGAAUCUGUGUGUGAACUUGAACCAG